UACGUAGGGUGCAAGCGUUGCCCGGAUUUUAUUGGGGCGUAAAAGGGCGCGUAGGCGGCUCUGCACGUUCGUUGUGAAAUGCCCGCUCACUGGGCGGGGUCGGCGGAUACGGCGUGGCUGGAGCAAGCUAGGGGGCAGUGGAAUUCCCGGUGUAGUGGUGGAAUGCGUAGAUAUUCGCAAGAACACCAGUGGCGAAGGCGGCUCACUGGCCCGAUACUGACGCUGAGGCACGAAAAGCGUGGGGGAGCAAACAGG
Molecule: ribosomal RNA, 255 nt
Filed under: uncultured bacterium
Lineage: Bacteria
Description: partial 16S ribosomal RNA
Rfam family: Bacterial small subunit ribosomal RNA
Source: RNAcentral